Molecule: long non-coding RNA, 657 nt
Filed under: Cairina moschata (Muscovy duck)
Lineage: Eukaryota; Metazoa; Chordata; Aves; Anseriformes; Anatidae
Description: domestica (muscovy Duck (domestic type)) lncRNA (ENSCMMG00000000442.1)
Source: RNAcentral
AUUUUUACAUAUGUAUACUAUAAAUAAUGUGAUAAAAUCUGGUGCUGUAUCAGCAUGAGACACAAUGCACCAUAAAAUGUUAUUUUUUUCCCCCUAACACACACAGGUUGCCAGAAAAAAGGAAUGUGCAAUGGAGAUUAUUAAUAUGGACAUAUCCUAAGAUACGGCAUGCCAUUUGAGAAACUAAAUGAAAUACAUUUUGGCAUGGAAGAUAAUUAAUUGUACCAUGAAUUACUGAGGACAGUUUCAAAAAGCUGUUGUAGGAGCAGUGCUGUAAUGCAUCCUGUCAUGUGAGAAGGCCUGUUCUCUUCUGUCAUUGAAGAUAUUUCAAAAAGGAACUUUGAUUGCAGCUACUGCAAGAAGGUAGGGUAAGAGGCAUACAGAGAAAUCAAAUAAUCUAUCCUGAGAGCAUGCAAGCGCUCUAGAAAUAAAAUCCCAGUGAACCCUGGCUAUAACUCUUUUGAUGUUCUCAUCAGUGGCCACAGUUCUCCAAGGAUUGAUGGGUAGAUGCUGUGGUGAGGUCCAGGCAGCUUUGUGGAAACGUCUCCAAUGGGCUGGUAGGAUGAGAAGAUCCAGGGGUAGUUUGGAAAACGAGGAGAAGCAUCACCUCCCAAGACGGUAAACCUACUGAAAAGACUAUUCAAAUUCCAGAAGGAC